UACAGAUAUUUAAGCUGCUUAGCAAUCCAUCAAACAAUACUUAUAGCACAAAGAAGUACCAAGUUCAAUAAAGUGAGGAGAAAAAAGUGCAUGUUUAGGCAUUACAAAUGACAAAAGCAAAACCAGAACAGAAGGUUAUAGCCAAAGAGACCAGACAAGACAAGAAAGCAAGUUGUUGGUAAAACUGUCAUUAAGAAGUUCAAUAGGAACUGCUUCCUUCAUAACAUCUUCUAGGGGAAACUCACAAGUAUUAACUGGCCUUACUAUAGUGGCUUACCAUGAUAAUUUGCAUUAAUCGACGGAAAGUAGUUUAAUGAUCUUCUUGAUGUGUACAAGAAGACAUUAAAGUCUGAUGGAAUUACUAGGCUCUACCGUGGAUUUAACAUUUAAUGCGUUGGAAGUAUUGUCUACCGUAGGCUUUAUUUUGGAUUGUACGAUUCCUUGAAUAAUUUUUUUCUAACUGGAAAGUUGUAGGUAUGUGUUUCAUUUUCAAAUAAUGUGUCUUGAAUGUAGUAUCUAUUUAUAUUUUUUAAGUUACUUACUUUUAGUAAAUGCAUUUGUGAAUUGUAAAUGCAAUUCAAAAUUGUCAAAAUUCUUAGUUUUUUUAAUAAAAUAGCUGCAUAAUUUCAUAUUGCUGAAGCUGACAUCUUAAUUCUCAUAUGAAAACAAUUAUGUUAUAUAAUUGUAAGAGAACAAUUUCUAUCAAAAGAAUUCUUGUCGAAUGAUGUUUUUCUUAGGCUACACUGAUACUCAUAAUCAAACCUUUAUUUUUAUGUAUGACAAGUCUGCAUAGUUUCAUAAGGUUUUUGUUUUUUAACAUUCUCUGAGCAUACUAAUGAUGUCAAUGCAGUCCACUUCAUGGCUAAUAACCAUUGUCUUCUAAGUGCAUCACUGGAUGGAACCGUUUGAGCGUGGGAUUUGUUUCGUUACCGGAAAUUUAGAACAUUUACUACUCCCUACACCCAGGCAUUUUUUUGCAUUGGCUUCAGAAAAAAGUGGUGAAAUAAUUUGUGACUGGCCGUCUAUUAGAUAUUCUUAGCGAUCAUGGAGGACCAGUUCAUGAUUUGAUGUUUUCGCCUACAAAUGGCUGGAGUAUGAGUAGAAAGAUGUGAACCUUUUUAAGGGAGAGCAGAUCAAUCCAGCUGCAGCUCUUUCACGAGACCAUAAUCCUGGCCAAACUUAUGAGCGUCAAAGGACUAAGGAUGCAGGAGGUUUGAUACUCUGGGCAGGAGUAAUCAAAAUUAGUUGCUAAACUGGCUGAGGAAGGAAAGAAAAAAAGUCUAUAAUUUGUUCCCACACACCGAUAUUUGUUCCCAAGAUUGAUUUCUGGAGUUUUUCUUUGAUUUGUGGAUGAAGCUGCCUUUGCCCGUGAGCUGAUAAAUGUGAUAUUUGUUCAGAUAUUGUAGAGCGAUCCUGUAGGGGAUCUGUUUCAUAAAAUUAGCCUAUGUGAAGUUAGCAAAGAGACAUAUGAAGAGAGUUGCAACUGAACUCCAAGUGAUGGGGGCAUCAAACAAGGACUCGGCUCUAGGGUAUAUGCUGCUUCAGGGAGUGAGAUUUGCUUUCAGAAUUCAUCGGUUUGCUGGAGGAUUUGAUUCCGAGACAAUGCAUGCAUUUGGGGAGCUAAGGAACCUUGCCCAUGUCAAAAAUAAGCUGUAAUUAAGAGGGGUAAUUAAAUAGCUGAAGUUGCUUACCUUCUCAUUAAGCAACCUAUAAACUCUAUGCAUCUUUUGUUUUAUUUUGGCGCUUGACUUUGUUGGAUGGAGUUCCAGAUGAACGGUUGUGUUUUUGUAUAGUUUGUAGCAAAAAUGCUGUAACUCAAAAGAAGAGGAGGGGGAGAUUAAAAAAUUGACUAGGCCUUGGAGGUUCAUUGAUCUUUA
Long non-coding RNA from Asparagus officinalis (garden asparagus), 1877 nucleotides. RefSeq lists it as uncharacterized. Lineage: Eukaryota; Viridiplantae; Streptophyta; Magnoliopsida; Asparagales; Asparagaceae. The transcript is spliced from 8 exons. The record is from RefSeq and is a predicted model, not a curated record.